Long non-coding RNA from Scylla paramamosain (green mud crab), 2360 nucleotides. RefSeq lists it as uncharacterized. The record is from RefSeq and is a predicted model, not a curated record. The transcript has 6 exons. NCBI's taxonomy places the organism in Eukaryota, Metazoa, Arthropoda, Malacostraca, Decapoda, Portunidae.
GGGAGACUUGUGGUGCCCCUGUGAACUUGUAAAGCAGUGUACUUGCGGAGGAUUUGUCAAUAAACUUAGGAAAUAGUGCCCGUGUUUUUCCCUUGUGGCCUGGCCUCGUGUGUGUGUGUGUGUGUGUGUGUGCACGCGCGCCUUGUCCCGGCGUUCAGAGUGUGACUCCGCUGCUCUACCUAUACCCGUGUGGAUAACACGCCCGCCCGGAGUGAGGGAUGGGCGCAACAAUAACAUCUUUGUUGGCCCUGUCGAAGGCACCCUUAAGAUCAACGAAAGCUCUGCAGGACGGUUAUAUGAACUGGCAGCCAUUGUUGAUGUUUGCAUUGCUUCCUGGGGCCGGGAGAAUUCCACGAUUACAGCUCAAAUAGAAGGAGUGAGUGAGGCAGGAUGAGUCUGAUGGGUGCUUAGGCUGAGAGUCACGCCGCAGGGUCAGUGAGGGGUACGGCCGGCAGUAUGGUGACUCCUACGGCGGCGGUAGGUCAUCACAGGAGUACUCAUGUGACAGGAGCAGCAGUUGGGGGGCGGUCACAGGGGAGGGGGCUGAUGGCGAAACCAUGGGAGGGGGAGAUGGUGCCGGGGAGUGGCAGGGUGGCCGGCCUUAUGCUGCAGGGGACGGCCACUGCUCCGGACAUCAUGGCGUAUGGAUAACCUGGAGUCCGAAGUGGCACUUAAUAUUCUCAAUGCUGUGGUGACUAAUAAAGAAGAGGCACAGUGGUCAAGACAGGGACUGGGAAGGCAGACAGAAGAGGAGGAUGGACUGGAUGAGUAACAGCAGUACUAGUAGAAGUAGUAGUAGUGAUAGUUUGAUCAUAGUAGAGAUAGCAGUAAAAUAUCUAGUUGUAUUAUUAGAAGUAGUAGCAAUAGUAGAAGUAAUACCAAUAGUAGAAGUAGCUUGGUCAAAGUAGUAAUGGUAAUAGUAGUGAUAGCAGGAUGUUAUUUAACUGUAUAAAAGAAAGAUUAAAUCCAUAUAUAAAACUUAUUGGCAGGACCAGUAGCAGCAGCAGUAGUAGUAUUAGGAACACCGUGGUCAUAAUAACAGAAGUAGAACCAUAACAAUUCACUAUAUAAAACAAAAAGCACCAAACUAAUAUAGCAUCAACAACAACAGCAACAGUAGCAGUAGUAGUAGUAGUAAUAGUAGCAGCAGUAGUAGUAGUAGUAACAACACUAACUCCAACACUUUACCAACAGGACGACCAGUACUAUGGGUCUGGCUGCGGCAUCCUACCCACCCCCCGGAUGCCCCCAUGCUAACUGCCCUGGCGCGACCCUAACAUUGGCCCUGCACACUCCUGGGGUGUGGUGGGGGGCUUUGUACCAGGGCGGCCGGGGCGGGGGCGGGGUAGAGCAACAGGACUGGGGUACAAGAUGAAGAAAACGUUGCCGGCUAAGAAGAAAAUAGGAGCUAAGGAGCUCCUCCCAGAAUGAGCCCACACCUGCACCUGAGGACACACCCACACCUGCACCCAAGCCUUCACCCACCCCCAGCACCCACUCCAGCAUCCAGCACAGCCCAGGGGAAGGCCCAGGGCAGGCAGCCAAGGGCCGAGGCAGGGGCAGGGGUGUGGCGUGGGGGAGGAGAGUGUGAAGUGUGUGGGUUAGGUUUGUAUGUGGUACUUUGUCUGGGCUGCUCCAUAUGUGGGAGAGCUCGGUUGGUGUAGAGAUGGAUAGAUAGAUGUGUGUGUGUGUGUAUGUGUGUGUGUGUGUGUGUGUGUGUGUGUGUGUGUGUGUGUGAGGGAUUUGUACUUCAUUCAAGCAUCUUUUAUUUUUACUACUGCUACUAUCUUGUUCACUACUGGAAGAUUAGUACUAAGAUGUGAUUCUUGUUAUUUUUAAGGGUAUUAUUCCAAUGUUUUUUGUAUGAUUGCAUCUCAUUCCUGUUGUACUUGAGAGAGAGAGAGAGAGAGAGAGAGAGAGAGAGAGAGAGAACAGGCCCCAUUGCACAAACUAAUGAUAAAAAAAACUCACAACCAUUCCAAAAAGUAUAAAUAUGUUAGUUUUGUUAGUAGAUUUUGCAAGAAAGGAAAUUUGAAAUACAGGAGUGUGUGGGAGAGGCAAAGGAUAUGUAGGACGGCAGAUUAGUGUGUGAAGGAUGUGUAGGAGAGGCUGAGGAUAUCCUGUACACUGUGUCAGGAUGGUUAAGGGUGAUUUGGAAGGAAGCUAGUGUGUGAAGGAUGCAUUAGGUAGGAUGUGUAGUAGUGGGUACAAUGUGUUAAGAAUGAUAUGUAUGUUACAGGAGAUAAGGAUGUGUAUUUUCACCACAAGUAUGUGUAGAGAUUGGUGUUAACACAGCAGGAAGGUUUGAUGAAGCUGGACCAUCAUUCCUUGUGUUGUCUUAAUAAAUGUAUGCAAACUGA